This 497-nucleotide ribosomal RNA is filed under the name uncultured bacterium. RNAcentral's name for it is "partial 16S ribosomal RNA". It matches the Rfam family "Bacterial small subunit ribosomal RNA", at positions 28 to 507 of the family's 1533-position model. The record is from RNAcentral.
GAUGAACGCUGGCGGCGUGCCUAAUACAUGCAAGUCGAGCGAACGGACGAGAAGCUUGCUUCUCUGAUGUUAGCGGCGGACGGGUGAGUAACACGUGGAUAACCUACCUAUAAGACUGGGAUAACUUCGGGAAACCGUAGCUAAUACCGGAUAAUAUUUUGAACCGCAUGGUUCAAAAGUGAAAGACGGUCUUGCUGUCACUUAUAGAUGGAUCCGCGCUGCAUUAGCUAGUUGGUAAGGUAACGGCUUACCAAGGCAACGAUGCAUAGCCGACCUGAGAGGGUGAUCGGCCACAAUGGAAAUGAGACAAGGGCCAGACUCCUAAGGGAGGCAGCAGUAGGGAAUCUUCCGCAAUGGGCGAAAGCCUGACGGAGCAACGGCGCGUGAGUGAUGAAGGUCUUCGGAUCGUAAAACCCUGUUAUUAGGGAAGAAAAUAUGUGUAAGUAACUGUGCACAUCUUGACGGUACCUAAUCAGAAAGCCAAGGCUAACUACGGG